UACGGAGGGUGCAAGCGUUAAUCGGAAUUACUGGGCGUAAAGCGCGUGUAGGCGGUCUUGUAAGUCGGAUGUGAAAGCCCCGGGCUCAACCUGGGAACUGCAUUCGAUACUGCUCGACUAGAGUAUGGAAGAGGGAAGCGGAAUUCCGGGUGUAGCGGUGAAAUGCGUAGAUAUCCGGAGGAACACCAGUGGCGAAGGCGGCUUCCUGGUCCAAUACUGACGCUGAGACGCGAAAGCGUGGGGAGCAAACAGG
RNAcentral lists this ribosomal RNA (253 nucleotides) under uncultured bacterium. RNAcentral describes it as "partial 16S ribosomal RNA". It matches the Rfam family "Bacterial small subunit ribosomal RNA", at positions 524 to 776 of the family's 1533-position model. The record is from RNAcentral.